AGAAGUGUUUGUUUCUGCAAUUACGUCAAGGUUUCCUAUACUAGGAAAUUACAUAUCAAAUUACAGAUAAACUUACAUCAAAAUGAAAAUCUCAUAUUAUUCAAAAUUAAGUUUUUCACGACGUUUUCUAUGGCUGUCCUUAACCCUAAUAAUAACAGGGCUAAUUUUUCUACACAAAAUAAUUUAUCCUGAAGUGGUUCUUUAUGGAGAAAUUUAUGACGAAAAUGUGACGGAUCAUUGCAGCUCUACUUUAGGAAUCAAUUUAAUUAUCUAUAUAUAAAUUUGG
Molecule: long non-coding RNA, 286 nt
Organism: Eurytemora carolleeae
Lineage: Eukaryota; Metazoa; Arthropoda; Copepoda; Calanoida; Temoridae
Exons: 3
Source: RefSeq, a predicted model, not a curated record